CAGCCGCCGCGGUAAUACAGAGGGUGCAAGCGUUAAUCGGAAUUACUGGGCGUAAAGCGCGCGUAGGUGGUUUGUUAAGUUGGAUGUGAAAGCCCCGGGCUCAACCUGGGAACUGCAUUCAAAACUGGCAAGCUAGAGUACGGUAGAGGGUGGUGGAAUUUCCUGUGUAGCGGUGAAAUGCGUAGAUAUAGGAAGGAACACCAGUGGCGAAGGCGACCACCUGGACUGAUACUGACACUGAGGUGCGAAAGCGUGGGGAGCAAACAGGAUUAGAUACCCCAGUAGUCCCUGUCUCUUAUAC
RNAcentral lists this ribosomal RNA (301 nucleotides) under uncultured bacterium. RNAcentral describes it as "partial 16S ribosomal RNA". It matches the Rfam family "Bacterial small subunit ribosomal RNA", at positions 509 to 807 of the family's 1533-position model. The record is from RNAcentral.